UUCAAAAAAGUGAUCACUUCC
Molecule: non-coding RNA, 21 nt
Filed under: Caenorhabditis elegans
Lineage: Eukaryota; Metazoa; Nematoda; Chromadorea; Rhabditida; Rhabditidae
Source: RNAcentral